Molecule: long non-coding RNA, 240 nt
Organism: Cydia amplana
Lineage: Eukaryota; Metazoa; Arthropoda; Insecta; Lepidoptera; Tortricidae
Exons: 2
Source: RefSeq, a predicted model, not a curated record
AGCUCCGUUCUCCAUACAAACGUAGUUACGCUCCCAUUUUAAAACGAGUAGAUAGUUUGCUCUGAAACUUUGUACUUACAAUAGGAUAAGGCAUAUCUAUGUCUAUAAUUAGUUUAAAACUUCAUAGUUAAAAAAAUACAGCGAAUUUAAGUUUUUCAUACAAAACUUGUUUUUGCUCUAUUUCGUUUGUUUUAUAAAUUGUAGCUAUAAAAACUAAUUACAGUACUAGAUAAACGUAGU